GAUGAACGCUGGCGGCGUGCCUAAUACAUGCAAGUCGAGCGAACGGACGAGAAGCUUGCUUCUCUGAUGUUAGCGGCGGACGGGUGAGUAACACGUGGAUAACCUACCUAUAAGACUGGGAUAACUUCGGGAAACCGUAGCUAAUACCGGAUAAUAUUUUGAACCGCAUGGUUCAAAAGUGAAAGACGGUCUUGCUGUCACUUAUAGGUGGAUCCGCGCCGCAUUAGCUAGUUGGUAAGGUAACGGCUUAGCAAGGCAACGAUGCAUAGCCGACCUGAGAGGGUGAUCGGCCACACUGGAACUGAGACACGGUCCAGACUCCUACGGGAGGCAGCAGUAGGGAAUCUUCCGCAAAGGGCGAAAGCCUGACGGAGCAACGCCGCGUGAGUGAUGAAGGUCUUCGGAUCGUAAAACUCUGUUAUUAGGGAAGAACAUAUGUGUAAGUAACUGUGCACAUCUUGACGGUACCUAAUCAGAAAGCCACGGCUAACUACGUG
This 497-nucleotide ribosomal RNA is filed under the name uncultured bacterium. Its description in RNAcentral is "partial 16S ribosomal RNA". It matches the Rfam family "Bacterial small subunit ribosomal RNA", at positions 28 to 507 of the family's 1533-position model. The record is from RNAcentral.